RNAcentral lists this ribosomal RNA (497 nucleotides) under uncultured bacterium. RNAcentral's name for it is "partial 16S ribosomal RNA". It matches the Rfam family "Bacterial small subunit ribosomal RNA", at positions 28 to 507 of the family's 1533-position model. The record is from RNAcentral.
GAUGAACGCUGGCGGUGUGCCUAACACAUGCAAGUCGAGCGACCAGACGAGAAGCUUGCUCUUCUGACGUUAGCGACGGACGGGCGAGUAACACGUGGAUAACCAUCUUCUUAGACUGGGAUGAUUACGGGAAACCGCUUACACUAACGGCUCAUACAUUGUACCGCAUAGUUCAAUAGUGCUACACGCUUUUCCCGUUUCUAUUAGAUGAUUCCGCGUCGCAUUAGCUAGUUGGUAAGGUAACGGCUUACCAAGGCGACGAUGCGUAGCCGACCUGAGAGGGUGAUCAGCCACACUGGAACUGAGACACGGUCCAGACUCCUACGGGAGGCAGCAGUAGGGAAUAUUCGACAAAGGGCGAAAGCCUGACGGAGCAAUACCGCGUGAGUGAUGAAGGUCUUCGGGUCGUAAAGCUCUGUUAUUAGGGAAGAAAAAAUGUAUAAGAAUCUCUGCACGUUUUGACGGUACCUAAACAAAAAGCCACGGCUAACUUCGUG